GACGAACGCUGGCGGCGUGCUUAACACAUGCAAGUCGAACGGUAAGGCUCCAGCUUGCUGGGGUACACGAGUGGCGAACGGGUGAGUAACACGUGGGUGACCUGCCCUGCACUUCGGGAUAAGCCUGGGAAACUGGGUCUAAUACCGGAUAGGACCUUGGUGUGGAUACUGUGGUGGAAAGUUUUUUCGGUGUGGGAUGGGCUCGCGGCCUAUCAGCUUGUUGGUGGGGUAAUGGCCUACCAAGGCGGCGACGGGUAGCCGGCCUGAGAGGGGAGACGGCCACAAGGGGACUGAGACACGGCCCAGACGCCUACGGGAGGCAGCAGUGGGGAAUAUUGCACAAUGGGCGGAAGCCUGAUGCAGCGACGCCGCGUGGGGGAUGACGGCCUUCGGGUGGUAAACUCCUUUCACCAUCGACGAAGAGUUUCUGACGGUAGAUGGAGAAGAAGCACCGGCUAACUACGUG
This 466-nucleotide ribosomal RNA is filed under the name uncultured bacterium. Its description in RNAcentral is "partial 16S ribosomal RNA". It matches the Rfam family "Bacterial small subunit ribosomal RNA", at positions 28 to 507 of the family's 1533-position model. The record is from RNAcentral.